RNAcentral lists this ribosomal RNA (472 nucleotides) under uncultured bacterium. RNAcentral's name for it is "bacterial SSU rRNA". It matches the Rfam family "Bacterial small subunit ribosomal RNA", at positions 355 to 825 of the family's 1533-position model. The record is from RNAcentral.
UCGGGAAUAUUGGACAAUGGGGGCAACCCUGAUCCAGCAAUGCCGCGUGAGUGAAGAAGGCCUUCGGGUUGUAAAGCUCUUUUGUCAGGGAAGAAACGGUAGUAGCGAAUAACUAUUACUAAUGACGGUACCUGAAGAAUAAGCACCGGCUAACUACGUGCCAGCAGCCGCGGUAAUACGUAGGGUGCAAGCGUUAAUCGGAAUUACUGGGCGUAAAGCGUGCGCAGGCGGUUGUGUAAGUCAGAUGUGAAAUCCCCGGGCUCAACCUGGGAAUUGCAUUUGAGACUGCACGGCUAGAGUGUGUCAGAGGGGGGUAGAAUUCCACGUGUAGCAGUGAAAUGCGUAGAUAUGUGGAGGAAUACCGAUGGCGAAGGCAGCCCCCUGGGAUAACACUGACGCUCAUGCACGAAAGCGUGGGGAGCAAACAGGAUUAGAUACCCCCGUAGUCCCUGAGCGGGCUGGCAAGGCGCAU